RNAcentral lists this ribosomal RNA (372 nucleotides) under uncultured organism. Its description in RNAcentral is "partial 16S ribosomal RNA". It matches the Rfam family "Bacterial small subunit ribosomal RNA", at positions 527 to 896 of the family's 1533-position model. The record is from RNAcentral.
GUAGGUGGCAAGCGUUGUCCGGAAUUAUUGGGCGUAAAGCGCGCGCAGGCGGUCCUUUAAGUCUGAUGUGAAAGCCCACGGCUCAACCGUGGAGGGUCAUUGGAAACUGGGGGACUUGAGUACAGAAGAGGAAAGUGGAAUUCCACGUGUAGCGGUGAAAUGCGUAGAGAUGUGGAGGAACACCAGUGGCGAAGGCGACUUUCUGGUCUGUAACUGACGCUGAGGCGCGAAAGCGUGGGGAGCAAACAGGGAUUAGAUACCCUGGUAGUCCACGCCGUAAACGAUGAGUGCUAAGUGUUAGAGGGUUUCCGCCCUUUAGUGCUGCAGCUAACGCAUUAAGCACUCCGCCUGGGGAGUACGGCCGCAAGGCUG